AGUUGGAUCAUUGCAAGGCACUGUAACCUGGUAAGGUAAGGGUUGUUUUGCCGGGCACGGCGCGUGUCACAGCGCGCCGCUGCCCCGCCAACCCACGACGGAGCCUGGCUGUUGCAUGACCCGUGCCGACCCCUUCCUCGUGGGGGUUCGCCGGCUGAGCAUUGCACGGGCCGGGUGAGACGGAGCCUUAGGGAAGGGCGGGGGUCUGUGACCCAGAUUCAGCCUACCCGUCUGGCUAUUAAUCCCGCACUUAUCACAACUGGUCACGAUCGAUGUCUCGGCUCAGGCAACGAUGAAGAACGCAGCAAAAGGCGAUACUUGGUACGAAUUGCAGAGCCUAUGAAGUGCCAAACCUUCGAACGCAACCGGCGGCCGCGGGGUUUCCCGAUAAGGCCAUGUUGUGAUGAGGCCGUGAUGCAGCAAACGCACCCCAGCUUCUGCUGGUGGCGCUCUGUGGGGGGCGGCGUCGAAAGCGCGCCGCACCCUGAAGUGUGUUGCCGUCUUCGCACCACAGCGGGAAACCUCUUGUGUCGUGCGUACGGCUGGCGGAACCCGCCGAAAACAAAGGCUGGGUCUCAUCGCAGCAGGACCACGGGCUGAACUUAAGCAUAUCAUUCAGCCCAGGAAAAGACAGCAACUGCGAUUCCCGUCGUAGCGGCGAGCGAGCGGGGAAGAGCUCAGCGCUGAAUCGUCGGCCCUCCGGUUGACGAGUUGUAGCGUUCCGGGGCGAGCAGUCCUGACAAUCAGGCGAGGACGAAGUUCUCUGGAAAGCCCGGCAAGGAGGGUGAAACCCCCGUUCCGUCCUCGUCCUGGGUUGGGCUGCCAGCCUCUCACCGAGUAGUGCUGAUUGGGACUGCAGCGCGAAGUGGCAGGUAUAUCUCUGCCAAGGCUAAAUACCGGCCUGAGACCGAUAGCGCACAAGUAGUGCGAACGAAGGAUGAAAAGUACUUUGCAAAAAGAGUUACAAGUACCUGACAUCGUGGCCAGGUAAGGGGUAGAUGCGCUGCCUUCUGCUGGGCACUCGAAGGGGUCUCCGACCCUGUAGACAGGUCCAGCUGCCAGCGCGAGUUGCGCGGCGUCCAGCGGCUCUGGUGGCGUUGGAAGGGGUUCGCCCCGGAAAAGCCCAGAGUUUCGAAGACGCCAAGCGACCCGAAGGAGAUGCGGUGGGGCGAGUGUUCUGCUGCUGGGCGGCCGCCUGUACACGCAUGCGUGGAAGGGCGCGUCGAACUUCCGCGGGGCUCCUCUAACUAUCGCUGAUGCUGGUGAAUGGUGGGGUCUACCCUCCCGUCUUGAAACACGGACCAAGGAGUCCAACUUGUAUGCAAGUGCUUUGGUGAUGGAAACCAAUGCGCGUACUGAAAGGGAAGGUGCCCUCCGGGUACUGUGGUGCGACGGUGGUCCACGGACCUCCCGCAGCAUCCAUCGGUCUGGAUCCAUGGAAAAAGAUCUGAAUGCGAGCAUACAGGUUGGGACCCGAAAGAUGGUGAACUAUGCCCGCACAGGACGAAGCCGGAGGAAACUCUGGUGGAAGUCCGUAGCAGUGUUGACGUGCAAAUCGCUUGCAUGAUUUGGGUAUAGGGGCGAAAGACUCAUCGAACCAUCUAGUAGCUGGUUCACUC
RNAcentral lists this unclassified non-coding RNA (1619 nucleotides) under uncultured fungus. RNAcentral describes it as "sequence contains 18S rRNA gene, ITS1, 5.8S rRNA gene, ITS2, 28S rRNA gene". The stretch from base 571 to 1619 matches the Rfam family "Eukaryotic large subunit ribosomal RNA", at positions 1 to 961 of the family's 3401-position model. Lineage: Eukaryota; Fungi. The record is from RNAcentral.